UACGUAGGGGGCGAGCGUUGUCCGAAGUUACUGGGCGUAAAGCGGGCGUAGGCGGGCUGUUAAGUCGGAAGUGAAAGGCUGGGGCUCAACCCCAGCAGUGCUUCCGAUACUGGCAGUCUUGAGGGCGGUAGGGAGAAGUGGAAUGGCUGGUGUAGCGGUGAAAUGCGUAGAUAUCAGUCGGAACACCGGUGGCGAAGGCGGCUUCUUGGGCCGUUCCUGACGCUGAGGCGCGAAAGCCAGGGGAGCGAACGGGAUUAGAUACCCCGGUAGUCCUGGCCGUAAACGAUGGAUACUAGGUGUUGGGGGUAUCGACCCCCCCAGUGCCGCAGCUAGCGCAUUAAGUAUCCCGCCUGGGGAGUACGGCCGCAAGGUUGAA
RNAcentral lists this ribosomal RNA (376 nucleotides) under uncultured bacterium. RNAcentral describes it as "bacterial SSU rRNA". It matches the Rfam family "Bacterial small subunit ribosomal RNA", at positions 524 to 898 of the family's 1533-position model. The record is from RNAcentral.